CCCUGGGUGACAGAGGGGUUAAAGUGCUCAGCUGCUAACUGAAAGGUCGGUGGUUUGAACUGCUCUGAGGGA
This 72-nucleotide transfer RNA is filed under the name Loxodonta africana (African savanna elephant). It matches the Rfam family "tRNA". Rfam says of the family: Transfer RNA (tRNA) molecules are approximately 80 nucleotides in length. Their secondary structure includes four short double-helical elements and three loops (D, anti-codon, and T loops). The record is from Rfam by way of RNAcentral. Lineage: Eukaryota; Metazoa; Chordata; Mammalia; Proboscidea; Elephantidae.